UUAAGCUACAAAGAGCGUAGGGAGGAUACCUAGGCACCAAGAGCCGAAGAAGGACGUGAUAAGCUGCGAAAAGCUAUGGUAAGGAGCAAAUAUCCUAUGACCCAUAGAUAUCCGAAUGAGGAAACUCAUCCACAGAAAAAAGUGUGGAUAUCCAUAUAUGAGUAAAGUAGUAUAUAGGAAGGGAACGCAAGGAACUGAAACAUCUUAGUACUUGUAGGAAGAGAAAGAAAAAUCGAUUCUGUGAGUAGUGGCGAGCGAAAGCGGAAGAGCCCAAACCAAUGUUGCUUGCAACGUUGGGGUUCGGACUACAUAAUCCAUUUAUCGAGCGAAUAAGAAUUGUUUGGGAAGGCAAAUCAUAGAAGGUGAAAAUCCUGUAUUAGAAGUGAGAUAGAGGAGGUAGUAUCCAGAGUAGUGCGAGGCACGUGAAACCUCGUAUGAAAGAGCGGGGACCACCCCGUAAGGCUAAAUACUACUUGGUGACCGAUAGAGAUUAGUACCGUGAGGGAAAGGUGAAAAGAACCCCGGGAGGGGAGUGAAAUAGAACAUGAAACCCUAUGCUUACAAACAGACAAAGCACGUUAAGGUGUGAUGUCGUACUUUUUGUAGAACGGUCCAGCGAGUUAUUGUAUAUGGCAAGGUUAAGCACUAUGUAAGGUGUGAAGCCGAAGCGAAAGCGAGUCUGAAAAGGGCGUAUAAGUCAUAUGUAAUAGACCCGAAACCGGGUGACCUAACCAUGGUCAGGAUGAAGCUUGAGUAAAAUCAAGUGGAGGUCCGAACUGAUAAGCGUUAAAAAGCUUCCGGAUGAACUGUGGUUAGCGGAGAAAUUCCAAUCGAACUCGGAGAUAGCUGGUUCUCCUCGAAAUAGCUUUAGGGCUAGCCUUGAGGUAAAAGAAUUAUGGGGGUAGAGCACUGAAUGAGGUAGGGGCCAAACCAGGUUACUGAACUCUAUCAAACUGCGAAUACCAUAAUUAGAAUACUCAGGAGUCAGACUGCGGGAGCUAAGUUCCGUGGUCAAAAGGGAAAGAGCCCAGAUCGUCAAUUAAGGUCCCAAAGAUAUAGCUAAGUGGGAAACGAUGUGAAAUUGCGUAAACAACCAGGAUGUUGGCUUAGAAGCAGCCAUACAUUUAAAGAGUGCGUAAUAGCUCACUGGUCGAGUGAAUUUGCGCGGAAAAUUACCGGGGCUAAGCUAUACACCGAAAUUGCGGGUUAUGAUGUAUCUAAUAAUGUGUAUCAGAAGGGUACAUAUUAUUAGAUACAUUGUAGCGGUAGAGGAGCAUUCUGUAGUAGGGAGAAGUAUGAUCGAAAGGACAUAUGGACGAGGCAGAAGAGAGAAUGCUGGAAUAAGUAGCGAGAGCAAAGUGAGAAUCUUUGCCGUCGAAAGUCUAAGGUUUCCUGGGGAAGGUUCGUCCGCCCAGGGUAAGUCGGGACCUAAGGUGAGGCCAAGGAGGCGUAGCCGAUGGAUAGCAGGUAUAAAAUUCCUGCACUACCGAAAUACUUAAAAACGAUAAGGGACGCAGGAGAGGAAGGAAAUCCGGGAAGAGGAAAAACCGGAGCCGAAAGGCAUAGUGAAAAUUUAAAGUAACGAAGUUCCAAGAAUCACACUGACGAGAAAAGCUUAUUGACAUUGUAUUAAGGUACCCGUACCGCAAACCGACACAGGUAGAUGAGGAGAGGAUCCUAAGACGAGCGAGAGAAGUACUGUUAAGGAACUCGGCAAACUAACCCCGUAACUUAGGGAGAAGGGGUACCUAUGUAAAAGUAGGUCGCAGAGAAGAGUCCCAAGCAACUGUUUAACAAAAACACAGGUUUCUGCUAAAUCGAAAGAUGAAGUAUAGGAGCUGACGCCUGCCCAGUGCUGGAAGGUUAAGGGAAAGAGUUAGAUGUAAGUCGAAGCUUAGAACUAAAGCCCCAGUGAACGGCGGCCGUAACUAUAACGGUCCUAAGGUAGCGAAAUUCCUUGUCAGGUAAGUUCUGACCCGCACGAAAGGCGUAAUGAUUUGGGCACUGUCUCGACAAUGUACCCGGCGAAAUUGUAGUACUAGUGAAGAUGCUAGUUACCUGCGACAAGACAGAAAGACCCCAUGGAGCUUUACUGUAGCUUGAUAUUGGGUUUCGGUAAUUUAUGUACAGGAUAGGUGGGAGACUAUGAAGCAAGAGCGUCAGCUUUUGUGGAGUCACCCUUGGGAUACCACCCUUAAAUUAUUGGAAUUCUAACCUGUGAUCAUGAACUGGUCAGGGGACAAUGUCAGGCGGGCAGUUUGACUGGGGCGGUCGCCUCCUAAAGAGUAACGGAGGCGCCCAAAGGUUUCCUCAACCCGGACAGAAAUCGGGUGAAAGAGUGCAAAGGCAGAAGGAAGCUUAACUGAAAGACAGACAUGUCGAGCAGAUACGAAAGUAGGGCUUAGUGAUCCGGUGGUAUGUGAGUGGAAAUGCCAUCGCUCAACGGACAAAAGUUACCCUGGGGAUAACAGGCUUAUCUCUCCCAAGAGUUCACAUCGACGGGGAGGUUUGGCACCUCGAUGUCGGCUCAUCGCAUCCUGGAGCGGAAGUACGUUCCAAGGGUUGGGCUGUUCGCCCAUUAAAGCGGUACGCGAGCUGGGUUCAGAACGUCGUGAGACAGUUCGGUCCUUAUCUGUCGCAGGCGCAGGAUAUUUGAAGGGAGUUGUCCUUAGUACGAGAGGACCAGGAUGAACAUACCGAUGGUGCAACAGUUGUCACACCAGUGGCAUAGCUGUGUAGCUAAGUAUGGAAGGGAUAAACGCUGAAAGCAUCUAAGUGUGAAGCCCACCCUAAGAUAAGAUAUCCCACAACGUUAAGUUGGUAAGAUACCAGGAAGACUAACUGGUUGAUAGGUUGGAGGUGUAAGUGCAGUAAUGCAUUAAGCUGACCAAUACUAAUAUAUCGAGGGCUUAACCAU
Molecule: ribosomal RNA, 2917 nt
Filed under: human gut metagenome
Description: bacterial LSU rRNA
Rfam family: Bacterial large subunit ribosomal RNA
Source: RNAcentral